CAUAAAAGUAGCAAUACUUCUGGUGGCGACCGGCGCACGGGUGAGUAACGCGUAUGCAACCUUCUCUAUCAGAGGGGAAUAACCCGGCGAAAGUCGGACUAAUACCGCAUAAAACAGGGACACCGCAUGGUGAUAUUUGUUAAAGAAAUUCGCUGAUAGAUGGGCAUGCGUUCCAUUAGGUAGUUGGUGAGGUAACGGCUCACCAAGCCGACGAUGGAUAGGGGAACUGAGAGGUUGGUCCCCCACACUGGUACUGAGACACGGACCAGACUCCUACGGGAGGCAGCAGUGAGGAAUAUUGGUCAAUGGGCGAGAGCCUGAACCAGCCAAGUCGCGUGAAGGAAGAAGGAUCUAUGGUUCGUAAACUUCUUUUGCAGGGGAAUAAAGUGCAGGACGUGUCCUGUUUUGUAUGUACCCUGAGAAUAAGGAUCGGCUAACUCCGUGCCAGCAGCCGCGGUAAUACGGAGGAUCCGAGCGUUAUCCGGAUUUAUUGGGUUUAAAGGGUGCGUAGGUGGUUUGAUAAGUCAGCGGUGAAAGUUUGCAGCUUAACUGUAAAAAUGCCGUUGAAACUGUCGGACUUGAGUGUAAAUGAGGUAGGCGGAAUGCGUGGUGUAGCGGUGAAAUGCUUAGAUAUCACGAAGAACUCCGAUUG
This 652-nucleotide ribosomal RNA is filed under the name uncultured Porphyromonadaceae bacterium. RNAcentral's name for it is "bacterial SSU rRNA". It matches the Rfam family "Bacterial small subunit ribosomal RNA", at positions 70 to 715 of the family's 1533-position model. Lineage: Bacteria; Pseudomonadati; Bacteroidota; Bacteroidia; Bacteroidales; Porphyromonadaceae. The record is from RNAcentral.